Molecule: long non-coding RNA, 309 nt
Organism: Humulus lupulus (European hop)
Lineage: Eukaryota; Viridiplantae; Streptophyta; Magnoliopsida; Rosales; Cannabaceae
Exons: 3
Source: RefSeq, a predicted model, not a curated record
AUAUUGAGUGCAUAUCUAUGCAUGGUAGACUGAAUGUAAUUUAUUAUUGGUUGCAGGGGGGAAGAAAUUUUACACUACUGUUGAUACUUUGACUCAACGAGAGCCUUAUUCAAUGCUUGCUACAAUGUUCAGUGGUUGGCAUACUGUGUGUCAGGAUCCUGAAAUGGGACUUAUGGAGGAAAUCAAUGCUGUCUUAAGUAGAAAGUUAGAUUUCGAGGUGUUAAACUUUCUGGCCUUGAUCUUUCAAAACUGGAUUUGUCUUAUGUGGACUUCAUCCAUGCUUGUCUUAGAGAUGUAUUCUUCUCACGU